UACGAAGGGGGCUAGCGUUGCUCGGAAUUACUGGGCGUAAAGGGCGCGUAGGCGGACAGUUUAGUCAGAGGUGAAAGCCCAGGGCUCAACCUUGGAAUUGCCUUUGAUACUGGCGAUCUCGAGUCCGGGAGAGGUGAGUGGAACUGCGAGUGUAGAGGUGAAAUUCGUAGAUAUUCGCAAGAACACCAGUGGCGAAGGCGGCUCACUGGCCCGGUACUGACGCUGAGGUGCGAAAGCGUGGGGAGCAAACAGG
This 253-nucleotide ribosomal RNA is filed under the name uncultured bacterium. RNAcentral's name for it is "partial 16S ribosomal RNA". It matches the Rfam family "Bacterial small subunit ribosomal RNA", at positions 524 to 776 of the family's 1533-position model. The record is from RNAcentral.